This is a non-coding RNA of Acanthosepion pharaonis, 111 nucleotides long. The record is from the annotation of a GenBank genome assembly. Lineage: Eukaryota; Metazoa; Mollusca; Cephalopoda; Sepiida; Sepiidae.
UUACGUCCAUACCACUUUCAAACACUAGGUCCCAUAUGAUCACUGAAGUUAAGCAACGUUAAGCCUGGUCAAUACCUAGAUGGGUGACCACUUGGGAAUAUCAAAUACUGU